RNAcentral lists this ribosomal RNA (554 nucleotides) under uncultured bacterium. RNAcentral's name for it is "partial 16S ribosomal RNA". It matches the Rfam family "Bacterial small subunit ribosomal RNA", at positions 355 to 900 of the family's 1533-position model. The record is from RNAcentral.
UAGGGAAUCUUCCACAAUGGACGCAAGUCUGAUGGAGCAACGCCGCGUGAGUGAAGAAGGUUUUCGGACCGUAAAGCUCUGUUGUUGGUGAAGAAGGAUAGAGGUAGUAACUGGCCUUUAUUUGACGGUAAUCAACCAGAAAGUCACGGCUAACUACGUGCCAGCAGCCGCGGUAAUACGUAGGUGGCAAGCGUUGUCCGGAUUUAUUGGGCGUAAAGCGAGCGCAGGCGGAAGAAUAAGUCUGAUGUGAAAGCCCUCGGCUUAACCGAGGAAUUGCAUCGGAAACUGUUUUCUUGAGUGCAGAAGAGGAGAGUAGAACUCCAUGUGUAGCGGUGGAAUGCGUAGAUAUAUGGAAGAAUACCAGUGGCGAAGGCGGCUCUCUGGUCUGCAACUGGCGCUGAGGCUCGAAAGCAUGGGUAGCGAACAGGAUUAGAUACCCUGGUAGUCCAUGCCGUAAACGAUGAGUGCUAAGUGUUGGGAGGCUUCCGCCUNUCAGUGCUGCAGCUAACGCAUUAAGCACUCCGCCUGGGGGAGUACGACCGCAAGGUUGAAAC